UACGUAGGGCGCAAGCGUUGUCCGGAAUUAUUGGGCGUAAAGAGCUCGUAGGUGGCGUGUCGCGUCUGCCGUGAAAGCCCAUGGCUUAACUGUGGGUCUGCGGUGGAUACGGGCAGGCUGGAGGCUGGUAGGGGCAAGCGGAAUUCCUGGUGUAGCGGUGAAAUGCGUAGAUAUCGAGAGGAACACCUGCGGCGAAGGCGGGUUGCUGGGCUGACACUGACGCUGAAGUGCGAAAGCUAGGGGAGCGAACGGG
RNAcentral lists this ribosomal RNA (253 nucleotides) under uncultured bacterium. RNAcentral's name for it is "partial 16S ribosomal RNA". It matches the Rfam family "Bacterial small subunit ribosomal RNA", at positions 524 to 776 of the family's 1533-position model. The record is from RNAcentral.